This 2203-nucleotide long non-coding RNA is filed under the name Rattus norvegicus (Norway rat). Its description in RNAcentral is "long non-coding RNA NONRATT023876". Lineage: Eukaryota; Metazoa; Chordata; Mammalia; Rodentia; Muridae. The record is from RNAcentral.
GAGAGCAUUGAAACUCAGGAUACCUGUUCAGCGGGAGCCGCCCACCUUCUCGGGUGUCUCCAGCCGGGGAGGUUUCUCUUUCAGAUUACUUUUCUCUGCUGUCCAGCAGCUUCCCCUCCUCUCCGCUCCCUUCCCCGGCACCUUCCGUGGCCAGCUCUGUGGCCUCCAGCUCGGGCUCCUUGCGUCACCGCAGGCCCCUCAUCAGCCCUGCCCGGCUCAACCUGAAAGGACAGAAACUGCUGCUCUUCUCACCGCCCGGGGAAGCACCAAAUACCCCCAGCAGCUCAGAGGAGCACUCACCCCCCAACGGCAGCCUCUUCAUUGAUCCUCCCCAGCUCCUGCAGAGGAAUCGCACUCGGGACACAAAGCACACUGUGGAUACGAGGUCGAUGCUGGCCAGAGACAGCGCCCACAGUGGCCACUCCAUCAAGAAAGAGGACGAGUCGUCUCAGUCCUCCACCUGCAUCGUAGAUACCACCACCAAAGGGUGCUCAGAGGAGACCACUCCCUGGAAAGCUCGUGUCAGCCCCUCCCUGGUCCGGGGCCUCCUGGCUGUGAGUUUGGCUGUCAAUGCGCUCUUCACCUCGGCCUACCUGUACCAGAACCUGCGCUGACCACCGAGUGCCCUUCCCGAGGGCAGUGCCCAGGCGCAUGCUGCUUCCACCACUGGCACACAGAUCCCUACCUGAGGGGCUCUGUCUCCGCCUUGACCUCCUGGGUUGAGUCCCUGACCUCAGGAUACCUGCUGUCCACCCAACAGACUGCAGACAUCAACUGUUUGGUGCUGACACUCUGACCCCAAAGCCAGGGAUCUUUGAUGGGCUUGCCAAGCCCCAGGGAUGCUGGUGCUACUGUAGCUGUGGCAGGGGCCACCAGGCCGCCUGUGCCCGACUGCAGCCUCUGAAACUCCAGAGGUCUGCUGCAGAGCCGCACUGGGAACCAAGGUGAAGAAAGCCCCUGAGAGACGCAUGUGGAGCCUGGGUCACAUCAUCUCACACCUGCCCACUCCAGAGAGCAAGACUCCCUGGAGAGCAAGUGUCCCCGGAGAAGGCAGCCGCCCACCGCCCAUCUCGCCCCUUCAGGCAGGGCUUCAGGCAGGGCUGGGCACAUGGGGACCCUGGGACUCGACACUAAGCACCUGUUCUCUGUCUCCCCAACCCCUGCCUCAAACUCCUGUUGGUGACUUUCUGAGAACACCAGAGCUCCCUCGUCCACUUGUCCAGGCCUCUCUCAUCCAGAGUCCUUGCCUGGCCCAUGAGUGUCAGAUGAGACUGGACACUUCUCUCAACCAAGUCCCUUACUCCUGAGGCCCUACUAUCCUCUCCUCCAUCCUGUCCCCAUCUCUGUCCCCCUCGACCUGUGGCUCCAGGCCACCUGUGUUGGUGCCUUCAUGCCUAACCACUGCCCUGCGGAGACACUGCAGGCUUCCUGGAGCACAUCCUGUCCCAUGAGGAGAAAGGAGGAACUUUGGCCUGAAACUGGCCCUUUCAAUAGUAUGAGGCCACAUGUGCCUGUAGGGGCCAGGCCUUGGCCUGUGUGCUUGUGUGGGUGUCUAUGUGUGUGCGCGUGUGAGUGGGUAUGCGUGUGCGUAUGUUAAACCCCUUGGGAUUCAUUGUGUGGGAGGGGCAUGGGGAAGGGAAGGGAAGGGUCUUCACUGUCAUUCAGGGAUAAAACUUAACUUUAUUUUUCUACACAUCUUUUGCCAGGUGAGGCAUGUGCUUUGAAGCCGAUGCCUCCAGCCCUCCCUGCAGGGAAGUGGCCUCCUAAGCUUUGGGUGCUUUUAGUACUUUUCUUUUAACUAUGGGGAAGAAGCCCUGACCUUACCUCUACACUCCUGUCCUGGGAGCUCUUGACACUAUCCUGGGUCAUCUCACACCAAUCAGGGGUCAGGACUCCACUGCGCACAGCUGCCACAAAGGUUGCAGCUGAAAGGUGACACCUCUUCACUCUGCAUUUGUACAGCAGAUGCGUCAAGUUUUUAAAUUUUGUCUCCUGCCUAAUAAAACCAAAUUGUUCCCUCAGCAUCCUCAUCUCCAGCCCUGAGGAAACAGCUAGGGAGAAGCUGUGGCCCCUCCCAGCAGGCCAGCCUGGUCCCCAAGCACCCAGGAGGGGCUUUUACUUAUGUCUGAUUCAUACAUAAACACGAUGUUAUUUUUCUUUACAAAAGUGAAGAAAUAAAAACUGUACCAACCUUUGGCUUCUA